This 386-nucleotide ribosomal RNA is filed under the name Taruga eques (Gunther's whipping frog). RNAcentral's name for it is "partial 12S ribosomal RNA". Lineage: Eukaryota; Metazoa; Chordata; Amphibia; Anura; Rhacophoridae. The record is from RNAcentral.
CACAUGCAAGUCUCAGCAAUCCAGUGAAAACGCCCUUAAAACCUCUUACAGGUCAAGGAGCCGGCAUCAGGCACAAUAAUUUUGCCCACAACGCCUAGUUUUACCACAUCUUCACAGAUUUUCAGCAGUGAUAAAAAUUGUUCAUAAGCGCCAGCUUGAACCAGUUAAAGAAAAGAGGGCCGGCCAACCCGGUGCCAGCCGCCGCGGCUAUACCGAUGGGCUCAAGUUGAUAUCAAUCGGCGUCAAGCGUGAUUAAAGAAAGAUUUAAAUUAGGACUAAAUUUAGGCUAGGCCGUAAAAAGCCUGCCUCCUAGAAACCCAAAUACGAAAGUUGCUCUAACUAUCUCUUGAACACACGACAGUUUGGGCACAAACUGGGAUUAGAUA